CGCCGCCAUGCUGAGCUGAAGGAGGGCUGCAAACCAAACUCUGAUCUCCGCACACACCGUGGAACAAAGAGGAAACCAUCACAUUAACCUCCCACAACUGCAGCUAUAACAUUAACCCCAGGCUUGUCCUUCAACGAUUUCCAACUGUGUGAGGAAAAGUGAAAAGAAGUUUUAAUGCAUCAGUACUCGCUAGCCGACGCCAUGACGGACAACUUGAGGAUUUUAUAAUUCUCUCCGGAGGAAGAGCGUCGCGUCUUGUAAGGAGCCACAGAGGAAACUUCACCGUUC
RNAcentral lists this long non-coding RNA (288 nucleotides) under Echeneis naucrates (live sharksucker). Its description in RNAcentral is "lncRNA (ENSENLG00000007321.1)". Lineage: Eukaryota; Metazoa; Chordata; Actinopteri; Carangiformes; Echeneidae. The record is from RNAcentral.